GAUGAACGCUAGCUACAGGCUUAACACAUGCAAGUCGAGGGGAAACGACAUCGAAAGCUUGCUUUUGAUGGGCGUCGACCGGCGCACGGGUGAGUAACGCGUAUCCAGCCUGCCCAUCACUUGGGAAUAACCUUGCGAAAGUAAGACUAAUACCCAAUGAUAUCCCACGAAGGCAUCGGAAUGGGAUUAAAGAUUUAUCGGUGAUGGAUGGGGAUGCGUCUGAUUAGCUUGUUGGCGGGGUAACGGCCCACCAAGGCAACGAUCAGUAGGGGUUCUGAGAGGAAGGUCCCCCACAUUGGAACUGAGACACGGUCCAAACUCCUACGGGAGGCAGCAGUGAGGAAUAUUGGUCAAUGGGCGAGAGCCUGAACCAGCCAAGUAGCGUGCAGGAAGACGGCCCUAUGGGUUGUAAACUGCUUUUAUAAGGGAAUAAAGUGGGUCACGUGUGACUUUUUGCAUGUACCUUAUGAAUAAGGACCGGCUAAUUCCGUG
RNAcentral lists this ribosomal RNA (492 nucleotides) under uncultured bacterium. RNAcentral's name for it is "partial 16S ribosomal RNA". It matches the Rfam family "Bacterial small subunit ribosomal RNA", at positions 28 to 507 of the family's 1533-position model. The record is from RNAcentral.